UUAUUUUAGCGGCGGACGGGUGAGUAACGUGUGGGUAACCUGCCUUUUACUGGGGAAUAAUCGUUGGAAACGACGACUAAUACCGCAUACGGGUUCUUGGAAGGCAUCUUCUAAGAAAGAAAGGAUUUAUUCGGUAAAAGAUGGGCCCGCAUCUGAUUAGCUAGUUGGUGAGAUAAUAGCCCACCAAGGCAACGAUCAGUAGCCGACCUGAGAGGGUGACCGGCCACAUUGGGACUGAGACACGGCCCAAACUCCUACGGAAGGCAGCAG
This 270-nucleotide ribosomal RNA is filed under the name uncultured bacterium. RNAcentral's name for it is "partial 16S ribosomal RNA". It matches the Rfam family "Bacterial small subunit ribosomal RNA", at positions 87 to 354 of the family's 1533-position model. The record is from RNAcentral.